This 24-nucleotide non-coding RNA is filed under the name Arabidopsis thaliana (thale cress). Lineage: Eukaryota; Viridiplantae; Streptophyta; Magnoliopsida; Brassicales; Brassicaceae. The record is from RNAcentral.
ACCUGACUGGUCCUGCUGGUCCUC